AUGACCAUGAGGGUCCAUGUGAGCAGCAGCAGAUGCUUCGUCCCCAUCGUGUCCCUCAUGCUCCUCGCUGCUCUUCUUGCGGCUUCCAACCUGCUCCACACCACCUUCCCACACCCCUGGCGCGCGUUUUCUUCUCAUCUUCACACACGAUCACGACCAGGCGAGGGCGGGGGCUGUGACAUCUUCACGGGCGACUGGGUGCCCGACCCGGACGCGCCCUACUACACCAACGACACCUGCUCGGUCAUCCACGAGCACUACGACUGCAUGAGGUUCGGCAAGCCGGACCUCGGCUUCGUCAACUGGCGGUGGCGGCCCGACGGCGACGGCUGCGACCUGCCCCGCUUCGACCCGGCCCGCUUCCUCGCCCUGAUGAGGGGCAAGACCAUCGCCUUCGUCGGGGACUCCCUCGCCAGGAACCACAAGGACUCCCUCAUCUGCCUCCUCACCAGAGUGCACGUGCAGGUCGCGGAGCCCACGACGAGCUGGCCGAGCAGCAAGCACUCGGUGUACCACUACGGCGAGUACAACUUCACCGUGGCCAGCUUCUGGGCGCCCUACCUGGUCCGGCACGAGCAGAUCGACGACGACGGGCCGGCGCACACGGGCCUGUGGAACCUCCACCUCGACGAGGCGGAGGACGUGUGGGCGGCGCGCAUCCCGGAGCUCGACUACGUCGUCGUGUCGGCGUCCAGCUGGUUCUACCGCCCGUCCAUGCUGUACGAGGCCGGCCGGCUCGUCGGCUGCCACUACUGCCAGCUGCCCAACGUCACGGACCUCACGCCGCGGUACGCACUGCGCAUGGCCACGCGGGCCGCGCUGGGGGCGCUGUCCGGCGCCGACGGCCGGUUCCGCGGCACGGCGCUGCUGCGCACCGUGGACCCGUCGCAGUACGAGGGCGGGCAGUGGAACAGCGAGGACGGGAACUGCGUGCGGACGGCGCCGUCCCGGCGCGGCGGGAGGAGGGUCGAGGGCUUCGAGCGCGACUUCCGCGAGCUGCAGCGGGAGGAGUUUGCGGCGGCGGUGGAGAGGGCGGCGGCGACGGGCAAUGUCAGGAUGAUGCUGAUGGACACGACGGAGGCGAUGAUACUGCGGGCGGACGCGCAUCCCAGCAAGUACCGGGGCUGGACGCCGGAGAAGCACUUCACCCUGUACAACGACUGCGUGCACUGGUGCCUGCCGGGGGCCAUCGAUACAUGGAACGACAUGCUUCUCCAUAUGCUCAACUCUACAUAA
RNAcentral lists this ribosomal RNA (1236 nucleotides) under Triticum aestivum (bread wheat). RNAcentral describes it as "partial small subunit ribosomal RNA". Lineage: Eukaryota; Viridiplantae; Streptophyta; Magnoliopsida; Poales; Poaceae. The record is from RNAcentral.